GACGAACGCUGGCGGCGUGCUUAACACAUGCAAGUCGAACGGAAAGGCCCUGCUUUUGUGGGGUGCUCGAGUGGCGAACGGGUGAGUAACACGUGAGUAACCUGCCCUUGACUUUGGGAUAACUUCAGGAAACUGGGGCUAAUACCGGAUAGGAGCUCCUGCUGCAUGGUGGGGGUUGGAAAGUUUCGGCGGUUGGGGAUGGACUCGCGGCUUAUCAGCUUGUUGGUGGGGUAGUGGCUUACCAAGGCUUGGACGGGUAGCCGGCCUGAGAGGGUGACCGGCCCCAUUGGGACUGAGAUACGGCCCAGACUCCUACGGGAGGCAGCAGUGGGGAAUAUUGCCCAAUGGGCGGAAGCCUGAUGCAGCAACGCCGCGUGCGGGAUGACGGCCUUCGGGUUGUAAACCGCUUUCGCCUGUGACGAAGCGUGAGUGACGGUAAUGGGUAAAGAAGCACCGGCUAACUACGUG
RNAcentral lists this ribosomal RNA (468 nucleotides) under uncultured bacterium. RNAcentral describes it as "partial 16S ribosomal RNA". It matches the Rfam family "Bacterial small subunit ribosomal RNA", at positions 28 to 507 of the family's 1533-position model. The record is from RNAcentral.